RNAcentral lists this non-coding RNA (215 nucleotides) under Desulforamulus aeronauticus. RNAcentral's name for it is "Desulfotomaculum aeronauticum T-box sequence". It matches the Rfam family "T-box leader". From Rfam's summary of the family: Uncharged tRNA acts as the effector for transcription antitermination of genes in the T-box leader family. Lineage: Bacteria; Bacillati; Bacillota; Clostridia; Eubacteriales; Peptococcaceae. The record is from RNAcentral.
AGUAAUGCAAUGAUGGGUAAGAAGGCAGUGAAUUUGUGCAGCGAACCGGGGUAUGGUGUGAGCCCGGUACAAUGAAGCCGCCAGGCCGACCCGGAGUGCAGGCCGAAUCUCAGUAAGCUCUGCCGGUGCUUCGCCGUUACCGAAGUCUAAGUGGGUUGCCGGUGCACAGGCAACCAAUUAGGGUGGUACCACGGGUAUACAACCUCGUCCCUUUC